GGGGAGAGUGGUCGAGUGGUUAAAAGCGACAGACUGUAAAUCUGUUGAAGUUUUUCUACGUAGGUUCGAAACCUGCCUCUCCCAC
Molecule: transfer RNA, 85 nt
Filed under: Helianthus annuus (common sunflower)
Lineage: Eukaryota; Viridiplantae; Streptophyta; Magnoliopsida; Asterales; Asteraceae
Description: tRNA HanXRQr2_Chr09g0391661
Rfam family: tRNA
About the family: Transfer RNA (tRNA) molecules are approximately 80 nucleotides in length. Their secondary structure includes four short double-helical elements and three loops (D, anti-codon, and T loops). Further hydrogen bonds mediate the characteristic L-shaped molecular structure. tRNAs have two regions of fundamental functional importance: the anti-codon, which is responsible for specific mRNA codon recognition, and the 3' end, to which the tRNAs corresponding amino acid is attached (by aminoacyl-tRNA synthetases). tRNAs cope with the degeneracy of the genetic code in two manners: having more than one tRNA (with a specific anti-codon) for a particular amino acid; and 'wobble' base-pairing, i.e. permitting non-standard base-pairing at the 3rd anti-codon position.
Source: RNAcentral